This 253-nucleotide ribosomal RNA is filed under the name uncultured bacterium. RNAcentral's name for it is "partial 16S ribosomal RNA". It matches the Rfam family "Bacterial small subunit ribosomal RNA", at positions 524 to 776 of the family's 1533-position model. The record is from RNAcentral.
UACGGAGGGGGCUAGCGUUGUUCGGAAUUACUGGGCGUAAAGGGCGCGUAGGCGGCGCGAGCAGUCGGCGGUGAAAGCCCGGAGCUCAACUCCGGGUCGGCCGUCGAUAUUCUCGUGCUUGAGCACUGUAGAGGCAGGUGGAAUUCCGGGUGUAGCGGUGGAAUGCGUAGAGAUCCGGAAGAACACCGGUGGCGAAGGCGGCCUGCUGGGCAGUAGCUGACGCUGAUGCGCGACAGCGUGGGGAGCAAACAGG